CACUGCUUCCCGCAUCCCACCUCAGGGUUGCCUCCUGGUACCUUCCCGUGUAGGAAAAUGAUUUUGUCCCGCGCAGACUCCCUCAGCACCUUCUGCAGUCUGAAGCCGGAGAACGGUAAGCGGACAGGAGCACAGUCAUCUGCCAGAAGAAAAAUGGUGAUUCUUCCCAGUCCAAAGGUGAAGAUGGUGACUGUGAAAGUAUCAGCUUUAGCCAGACCACUGAUGAAGCUCCCAGAUGUCACAGCAUCCAUGGGCUUGUGAUCUCAGGUGAAGGCAUUGAACCCUGAGCCCUGGAUUCCCAUCUCUUCACUUGCUCCCUCCACCACCCCACCCCCAUAUUCAGAAUGGCCUCUAGGCUUCUAGGUUUGUGUCUUUAAUGGCACCUAGGCAAUAAAUAAAAAAUACAGUGCAGUGCUGACUGCAUCUUCCCUACA
This 434-nucleotide long non-coding RNA is filed under the name Homo sapiens (human). RNAcentral's name for it is "TIRAP antisense RNA 1, transcript variant 6 (TIRAP-AS1)". Lineage: Eukaryota; Metazoa; Chordata; Mammalia; Primates; Hominidae. The record is from RNAcentral.